GUUGGUGAUGCUGAGCUUCUUUAUUUCUUUUGUUCUUUUGUAGACAUUUACAGAGGGUGAACUUAUGUUAAUGUGCAACAAACUGAACAACAUCCCUCCUUUUGUUUUAUUGCUGAAUGUUAUGCUGUGACUGAAAAGCAAAUUUGGCUCUCAUGUCAUGUUUUGUGAAGUUCAUUUAGGUUGUGAUAUAAGUUUUUUGGUGCUUCCCUUUCAUUUGGAAAAGGGUAAACGGUUGAUUAAGCAUUAAAGCUAUACAUAUUAUUCUGAGUAACUUCCAAGGCGGUUUCUACUAAAUAUUUUUCCUUUAAUCCUUUCAUUCAGGCAGUUACAGCAAAAGGAGGUGGUUAGAUUCAAGAUUACACUACCACAAAACAGGUCAUGUCAACACUGUAAAAAAUCAUCAUUCAGAUGAUUUUUGAAGCGCCUGGUCUACUUUUCUUCACCAGAUACAGAGAUGUUGGUAAUGGCAACUGUACAUUUGUUUCUGACUUUCUUUAAAUGAACUCAUGAGCCCACUAGGUCUGUCCAGUUAAUCAUUUGUCUACUGGAACUCUGUGCUAUGUGAUUGAUAUUUCCCUGGUUAGGUGCAGAACCUGAACCUAAAGACUGAUGUAAAGACAUGUCCUGGUAUUUGGCUCUCUGGAACUCUAAAUAAUGGAAUUCUUGACCUGCACAGCAGCUAUGGUCCUGACUAGAGAUGAAAUUUAUAACGACAUACAUGUCUUACUUAGAACAACACAGGGUCUUAGAUAUAGUUCCCUUUGUACUGGUGCAGAACUUGUGAAAAUGUACAACAAAACCAAAGAACCUUGUUUAUUUAUUUAUUUAUUGCUAGUAUUUGGCUUUAUUAUUAUGUAGCCUUGCAAAUUGAUAGGGUACUUAUUUGAAUUGAUAGGCCUCUGUUUUAUGUGAUUCGACACACUUUAUUUGAAGAUGCUUGGAUAUAAGCAGUACAUGCAUUGUAGUGUCUUCUAAUAAUGUAAUAGUCGAUGUUUAUUUGAGUGUUCUUGUUGCUUCUUAUAGCUGCAUAGGGUCUUAGAUUAGUUCUCAGUGUGUUGAUUCUGCCUGUGUAAAUGUACAACAAACUGAAAAACCACUUGUGGUACCUGUAUUGGGAAGUCCACUUUCUCUUGUAACAUUGUAUAUUCCCUUGCACCUGGAAAGAGUAAAUGGGCACGAGAUUAAGCAUUAAAAUUGCACAUAUUAUUCUGUUAUUCAGAGUAUUGAUUUCUGCUUCUUUGUUUUUUGGUGAUUGUUUCAAAUGCAAACUUAUUGCUAUUGGUACCACACUUUACCCAUUUUCUACCUAGUUUCAAAUUCCUGGGGAUGUUUUCUGCUGAAUACUUUUCUUAAUUCUUUCAUUCAGAGUACAGUUGAAAGAGGUUUUUCUGUCUUUCCCCUUUUUGGACUCAAACUAUGGUAGGCUUAUGCCACCUAUCUGACUAAAUCUUUUACCCAAAGCAUAGGGAACAAAUGAUACAGUAGCAUGCCGAGGUACAAGUGGCUGCACAUCUGCAAAUUCGACGUCAAUUAAUUUUAGGACAAUUCUCUACCUAUUGGGAUUCACAAUUUCACAGUAGUAUGAACCUUGAGCUUUAUAUAGGCAUAAGAGAUUCGGAGUAGCAGUUUGUGCAAUGAUGCUUCCGCAUGUUCAUCAGUUGAUAUCGAAUCACUGCCUUACUAGUGCGUUGAUUGCUGAACAGUAAGACUUGAGCUUUUGAUCAAACUAGAGUAACAUUGAACAAACUUCAGAUCAGAGAUGUUUGUUGCUUGCCUCAAUCAUUUCGCAGUCUAUGUUUUUCUUAAGACAGUUUCUUUCUCUAUGGAGUGUUCUAGCUUAGAUACUGAAAAACUUCUUUAUUGGAAGGGUGUAGGCUCACAGUAUGUAUUUCUCUAUUUUUAUUUGUUUACUCUUCAGGUUUGGUACAAUAAUACCUGACCAAAUGUGCACAAUCUGUUUGUUAGAAGCUGACAUAUGUAGAUUUGAAGAAGGUGCAAUUUGGUCAGUUUUUGCUCUGUCCGUCCAUUUAUUUAUAUAUAUGUUAUAUGACCUAUGCAUAGCAUGGACAAAUUCAGGAUUAUUUUGUACCCAGCUGACAGGCCAUAAUUUAGUUUCAUGAAUCAGGGCAGUGUAUUGUACGUACCUAUGCUCCAUUCUAGUAAGAAAAGGAAACGCUUUAGUAGGAAGAGAAGAGUCGGUUACUCUGUUUCCAAGUACCAGGUGUUUGAUACUGCAGAGACUCAUGUCAAAUGUCAAACACCUAGCUAGGAUUCCAGUAAGAGUUUUGAGCUUUUGAUCAAACUACAGUAACAUUGAAGAUUUAACUAAGUUCAGAUUAGAGAUGUCUGCUGCUUGUCUUGGUCAUUAUCACUUUGUUUUUCCGAAGACAGUUUCUUUGUAUGGAGUGUUCUAGUAUAGAGGCUCACUCUAUGCAGCUCUGUCAUGUUUAUUAAUUUACUUUUCAGGUUUGGUACAGUAAUAAUUUUAUUCAAGUGUCCAUGUUUGGAGCAGGAUAUGAACAUCUGACGAAAUGUGGGCAGUAUGACUUUUAGAGGCUGACAUAUGCAGAUUUGAAGCAGGAAGAGAAGUGUCCUUUAUCUUGUCAACCACCCUGCCGAUGGAGGAAGAAACUUGGCAAGACAAAAACACUGUUUGCAAGUUGACGUCUCCGGAGGGUCCAAGGACGGGAGAAGACAAAACAAGAGUCGCAGCAGGGUCCAUCACAGUUGCGUUUGGCCUCGUCGGUUCGUCCUCAUCUCAUCUCGGAGCCGCCAAGGCAAGUUCGCAUCAGAAUUUUCAGAACGAACUUCUCGGCGCUUUCCCUUCCCACUCCCAGGCAGCUUCUCUCCCCUCCUUUCUCCCUCUGAAAGGAAAAGAAAAAGAUUCCGUUUUUUAUCCAUCCACCAGUCUACCACAACAUUCAAAGCUUCCAUUUUUUUUUAUGCCGCCCAACCCAGAUUACCCAGCCUGGCAUCCAUGGCUGCCUCGCCGGAGGAUUUCGUGGCUGAACCCGCCGAGCCGCCCUUCUCCCCCUCCAUCUUCCUCGACCUGCCCCCGACGCCCUGCCCCGACGGCAAUGGCGAGGGCAAGGACCCGGCCUCCGACGACCUCGGCCUCCCCUUCAUCGAGCGGAUGCUCAUGGAAGAGGGGAUCCACGAAGAGUUCUUCUACCAGUACCCCGACCACCCCGCGCUCCUCCAAGCCCAGGAAUCGUACGCACGGGUCCUCUCCGACGCCACCGCGGAUUCCACUUCGUACGGCAGCCCCACCGUGUCGGUGUCCUCCUCCGGCUCCGACGACCUCACCACGGACGCCAGUACCGGUUCCGAGCAGAGCCCGGCGCAAGCGCAACUGAGGGAUGGUGGCGCCCGGAGUGACGCCGCCGCCGCGGAGGAGGAGAUGGAGGAAAAGGCCAACAGCACCAUGCUUGCAGCCGUCGAUGAUGACCACGCCGCACUGGCCUCGGCGUUCUUCAGCGCCCAGCAGGAUGCGGGGAGCAACGCCAUGCUCAACUUGGCAUUCCUCAAGGGCAUGGAAGAGGCCAACAAGUUCCUGCCUAGAGACAUCGACCUGCUGCGCGGCUCUGCCACCGUCCUUCAAGUGAAGGAAGAGGCAGAGGAGGAGGGAACUGCCAAUUUGGGCAGGGGCCGCAAGAACCUGCACAACUGGGAUGAUGUCCUGGAGGCCAAUUUGGGCAGGGAGAGGAAGAUGAUGGCGCCGGAGCCAGAGGAAUCUGGUGAGGUGGUUGAUGAAAUGAUUGCCAAUGGGUUCCAAUUGUUCCUCAGAGAGGUGGAGAGCCUCCGCAUCAGUAUGGGCAGCGAGGCUGAGAAGAAGAAGAGCAGGAAAGGGAAUGCACGGAGCGCCAAUGGAGUGGCGGACUUGUGCGCCUUGCUCAUGCAUUGUGCACAGGCUGUGGCAAUGGACGACCGCUGCAGUGCGGCUGAACUACUUAGGAAGAUCAAGAAGCACUCUUCUCCACGGGGAGACGCCGCACAAAGGCUGGCACGUUAUUUCGCUGAGGGAUUGGAGGCACGGCUGGCUGGUUCAGGGAGCCCGGUGUACAAUUCGCUCAUGGCAAAGCGCACCUCUGUUGUGGACUUCCUCAAAGCCUACCGGCUAUACGCAGCGGCCUGCUGCUUCAGAAUGAUGGCGUUCAAGUUCGCGAACCUGACCAUUUCCAAGGCUAUUGCAGGGAGGAAGAAGGUACACAUUGUUGAUUACGGCAUACAUUACGGGUCCCAGUGGCCUGGUUUGCUGAAAAUUUUAACUCUAUGGCCGGGAGGGCCACCAGAAGUGAGGAUUACUGGCAUUGAUCUUCCCCAGCCUGGGUUCCGCCCAGCUGCUCGGGUCAAGGAGACAGGGCGACGGCUUAGCAGUUAUGCCUCUCAGUUUGGUGUACCGUUCAAGUACCGUGGCAUUGCGGCUAAGUGGGAGACGGUUGGCGUUGAUGAUUUGGACAUCGACCCUGAUGAGGUACUCAUUGUCAAUAGCAUCCUCCAUUUUGGAAACUUGAUGGACGAAGGUGUCGACAUGAGUAGCCCAAGCCCGAGGGAUGUUGUUCUCAGCAACAUCCGGAAGAUGCGACCAGAUGUGUUCAUCCUUUUCAUCAUGAAUGGCACAUAUAGCUCACCGUAUUUUGUACCACGGUUCCGGGAGGCGCUAUUCCACUACUCUGCAAUGUUUGACAUGAUGGAUGCCACAACUCCACGGGAUAGUGAUCUGCGCGUUCUGGUUGAGCGUGAUCUCUUCGGCCAGUGUGCCCAAAAUGUCAUCGCUUGUGAAGGCUUGGACAGGGUGGAGCGCCCUGAGACAUAUAAGAAGUGGCAGUUGCGGAACCACCGGGCAGGGCUGAGACAGCUGUCAUUGGAUCCAGAUAUUGUCAAGGCCGUGCAGGAGAGUGUCAGGGACAAAUUUCAUGAGGACUUUGUCACUGAUGUGGAUCUUCAGUGGCUCCUGGGAGGGUGGAAGGGACGCAUACUCUAUGCAAUGUCGACAUGGGCUGCAGCUGAUGCUAUCUAGGAUUCUUAGCUGCUUUAAUUUACUGGAUUCAGAGAUAUAGUCUAGGUAAUGGCACCCAUAUUUGUUAGUGUGUCAAUGAACUGGUUCUGCUCUGCAGCUGUAUGUUUCAAGGCACUUAGUUCCAAAAUGACUGGGACUAGAGUUGAAAUUUCCGAGGUACAGCUGAAGGAGGUGGUUAGAUUCAAGAUUACACUACCACAAAACAAGUAACUGCACAGUGUAAAAGAUGAUCAUAUCAGACGUUUUUUGAAGCUUCUGUUCUCGAGGGUAGCAGAGAUGUUGGUAAUGGCAACUGUACAGAUGUUUCUGACUUCCUCUGGAUGAAUUCAUGAAUCUAAUAAGUGUCUCCAGUUAAUUGUUUGCAUUGUCUACUGGAAACCUGUGCUAUGUGACCAAUAUUUUCCCGGUUGGGUGUAGAGCCUGAACCUAAAAACUGAUGUAAAGACUUGUCCGAUUUGGCUCUCCAGAACUCUAAAAAAGAUUAAUUCUUGAACUGCACAGCUGCUGGGGUUCAUUCUUGCAAGAUGGCUUAGACUAGAGAUGAAUUUAUAGUGAUAUACAUAUACAUGUAUUUCUUAGAACAACACAAGGUCUUAGAUAAUAGAUAUAGUUCCCUGUGUGCUGGUGCAGAACUUAUCAAAAUGUAAAACAAAACUGAAGAACCCUGUUUAUUUAUUUAUUUAUUUAUUCAUUGCUA
RNA transcript from Sorghum bicolor (sorghum), 5717 nucleotides. It is a transcript of the gene named scarecrow-like protein 34, with no coding region annotated. Lineage: Eukaryota; Viridiplantae; Streptophyta; Magnoliopsida; Poales; Poaceae. The transcript is spliced from 3 exons. The record is from RefSeq and is a predicted model, not a curated record.